This is a long non-coding RNA of Cyprinus carpio carpio, 1408 nucleotides long. The record is from Ensembl. Lineage: Eukaryota; Metazoa; Chordata; Actinopteri; Cypriniformes; Cyprinidae.
ACAAAAGCCCAUGUGACAACAUUGAAAAAUAUAUAUAUAUUUUUUACAGUGAAUAAAACUGAUAGGGCUUGAUUAUACAGGUCUAAAAUUUCUUAUUAUAUAAUAACAAUAAAAUAUAAACAAUAUAAAAUAUACAAUGCUUACAGGUUUUUUUUACAAUCAUGUUUGCACUAAUAACAGAACCUUCAUGUCAUUUUUUUAAACUUUAGACACAUAAUUCACAACCAAUGAUUAAAAUGCACAUUUUUCAAAACACUUAACACUUUUUUUCAAAUGCUUGGAUACAUUUAAGCCAAAUAUCAUUUGUAAUGUAAUUUGUAAUUCGUAAUGUAGGCUAAUGUAACUCAUUUACAAAUUACUUCUAAGUGGAGUGUCUAUUCAUUUCUUUACAAAGAUCUAACUAUCAAUUGAUACAAUUGCUGAAAAUGAUGAGUAACUGUUGCAUUACUCUCGAUGCACAGCUUUUAUGAAAACUGAUUGGAGUCUCUAUUAAUGAGCUGAUGAUCUGCAUCAGGUGUGUUUGAUUAAGGAGACAUUGAAAACCUGCUGUGUUGGGGGGCCUACAGGAACGUGGUUAAAGGAUUUUUAGGCUGCAUUAAUUAUUACAACUGGAACCGGGAACACUUUCCAUAACACCCGAUGUACUUGCUACAUCGUUAGAAGAAUGGCAUCUACGCUAAUAUUAGUCUGUUUCUCUCUUAUUCCGAGGUCACCGUAGCCACCAGAUCCAGUCUGUAUCCAGACCAGAUGGUGGAUCAGCACCUAGAAAGGACCUCUACAGCCCUGAAAGACAGCGGAGACCAGGACUAGAGCCCCAGAGACAGAUCCCCUGUAAAGACCUUGUGUCAGACAACCACCGGGACAAGACCACAGGAAACAGAUGAUUCUUCUGCACAAUCUGACUUUGCUGCAGCCUGGAAUUGAACUGCUGGUUUCGUCUGGUCAGAGGAGAACUGGCCCCCGACUGAGCCUGGUUUCUCCCAAGGUUUUUUUCUCCAUUCUGUCACCGAUGGAGUUUUGGUUCCUUGCUGCUGUCGCCUCUGGCUUGCUUAGUUGGGGACACUUCAUUUACAGCGAUAUCAUUGACUUGAUUGCAAAUUAUUGCACAGAUACUAUUUAAACUGAACUGAGCUGCAUGAUGACAUCACUGAAUUCAAUGAUGAAAUGCCUUUAACUGAAAAAUUAGUGUUUUCUAUUGUCCUUCUGCAUUUUUGACACACUGUUUUCCUAAUUAAUGCUGUACAGUUGCUUUGACACAAUCUGUACUGUUAAAAGUGCUAUAUAAAUAAAGGUGAUGACUUGUCUUUGUCUUUUUAGAGGGUGAUGGAGCUGGAUGCUGAGGAAAACCAUCACAAAUUCAUAUGUUUGGAUGAUUCAGGCUUUAAUCUGGCCAAGACGUGGAGGAGAG